Molecule: long non-coding RNA, 1287 nt
Organism: Astatotilapia calliptera (eastern happy)
Lineage: Eukaryota; Metazoa; Chordata; Actinopteri; Cichliformes; Cichlidae
Source: Ensembl
CCUUAAUCCAACACAGCUGAUUUAAUUGGCUAAAUUACCCCCUCAACAUCUCAUGAAGUUCUCCAGAGGCCUGGUAAUGCAUUAAUCCUCUGACUCAGGUGUGUUGACCCAGGCUGACAUCUAAAACCUGCAGAACACCUGCCCUCGAGGCCUGGAGUUCCCCACCCCUGAUCUAAACAGGCAACCGAAGUUGAUCCAAAAUAAAAAUCAUAAUGAUUUAGUGUUUAUCAAAAUGUGUUCACAAUUCAUCUCACAAAUCAUAAAACACUGCUCUCCCUUAUAAGUAACGGUAUGGUAUCGGUAUCCACAAUACCAAAAGCAUCAGAUUGAUACCAAAAUUUUCAGACAUCGGAGGAAAAAACAUGAUGAAGAAGGCAAAAGCAAAAAUAAAAAAGGCGACAGAAGUAAGUCCGAAUGAGGAAAUGAGGAGAAGAAAUAGUGCGAGCCAGACGCACGUGCUUUAUUACCUUAUGAAGAGCAGGUGUUGUGUGAUGAUGUCAAAAGACAGACAGCCAAGCGCAGCACGAGUCUGGCUCGAGUAGAGAUCAUCAACAUAACUCCUUAAUAACCACAUCUCAUAACGGUUCCUUGAAGAAAUGAUAAAAAAAUUAAUAAAUAAAUAAACCCAAAAAAGAAAACACACAUAUCGGCACCCAUUAAUUUAUACACAUGACUAUUACCAAUGAGAUUACCAAACUGACUCUCUGUCCAUGAGUUAAACUGACUAAAGUGAGUUGAAAUGUCAAUUCUUCAGAAACAGACCUUCAUAAAUAACUAAAUAAAUAAAUAAAUAACAGAUUUACUUAACUGCAAUUACAGCCUGUUCUGCUGUGUUAAUGUGCACUUAAUACUGCGUGGGAGGGACCAAGUCAUCGCUGCAGAAACAUGAGAAAAAAAUCGUGCGUGUCUGAGAUGUGCUUUAAGAGCAGGAAGGUGAGAAGGACGCAAAUGCUAGAGUCUGGCUACCGCGGUGCUGGGGACAAUUUGCCAGUUCAAUUUAUGACUUUAUUAAGCAGCUCGUUCCAUUUGCCACAGAGGAGGCCGCAUUCCCCGAUGUAUCCCUAAUUCUGUGACAAAUUCAGAAAUAGCGCAAUCCUUUGGGGACUGAUAAAUAGGUUUCCGAGCUGUCUGGAUUGUUGUGUUGACAUUGCAUCUGAUGUCACUUCACCUGUUUCCUAGAAUCGUGCUUUUUACUGAUUAUUAACGCUGCAUCCAUUUACUGCCGUCGUCUGUAGCUCUAUUCCAACGCUUCCAUCGUUCCAAGACAAUUUCUCUCCUUCCUCUUCC